GAGAGGGAGCCUGAGAAAUGGCUACCACAUCCAAGGAUGGCAGCAGGCGCGCAAAUUACCCACUCUCAGUACGAGGAGGUAGUGACGAAAAAUAACAAUGCGGGACUCAUCAGAGGCCUCGCAAUUGGAAUGAGCGCACUUUAAAUCGUUCGACGAGGAUCUAUUGGAGGGCAAGUCUGGUGCCAGCAGCCGCGGUAAUUCCAGCUCCAAUAGCGUAUAUUAAAGUUGUUGCAGUUAAAAAGCUCGUAGUUGGAUCUGGGGUUCGGGUCGGCGGUUUGCCGCUUCGGCGGCUACUGCCGUGCUCGACUCUUACUAGCCGGUGCGUCUUGCGGUGCUCUUCAUCGAGUGCCGUAGGAGCCUGGCAUGUUUACUUUGAAAAAAUUAGAGUGCUCAAAGCAGGCGGUUCCGCCUGAAUAGUGUUGCAUGGAAUAAUGGAAUAGGACCUCGGUUCUAUUUUGUUGGUUUUCGGAACUUGAGGUAAUGAUUAAGAGGGACGGUCGGGGGCAUUCGUAUUUCGGUGUUAGAGGUGAAAUUCUUGGAUCGCCGAAAGACGGACAAAUGCGAAAGCAUCUGCCAAGAACGUCUCCAUUAAUCAAGAACGAAAGUCAGAGGUUCGAAGACGAUCAGACACCGUCCUAGUUCUGACCAUAAACGAUGCCAACUAGCGAUCCGCAGUGGUUGCUAUAAACGGACUCUGCGAGCAGCUUCCGGGAAACCAAAGUGUUUGGGUUCCGGGGGAAGUAUGGUUGCAAAGCUGAAACUUAAAGGAAUUGACGGAAGGGCACCACCAGGAGUGGAGCCUGCGGCUUAAUUUGACCCAACACGGGGAAACUCACCCGGUCCGGACACUGUAAGGAUUGACAGAUCGAGAGCUCUUUCUUGAUUCGGUGGAUGGUGGUGCAUGGCCGUUCUUAGUUGGUGGAGUGAUUUGUCUGGUUAAUUCCGAUAACGAACGAGACUCUAGCCUGCUAACUAGUUGCGCCGUGUUCAUACGCGGCUGUAGACUUCUUAGAGGGACAGGUGGCGUUUAGCCACACAAAAUUGAGCAAUAACAGGUCUGUGAUGCCCUUAGAUGUCCGGGGCCGCACGCGCGCUACACUGAAGGAGUCAGCGUGUGCUAUCCGGGCUCGGAAGAGUUCGGUAACCCGUUGAAACUCCUUCGUGCUUGGGAUUGUGGCUUGUAAUUAUCGCGCAUGAACGAGGAAUUCCCAGUAAGUGCAAGUCAUCAGCUUGCGCUGACUACGUCCCUGCCCUUUGUACACACCGCCCGUCGCUACUACCGAUUGAAUGGUUUAGCAAGGUACUCGGAUUGGUCUCGAUCUUGUACGAAAGUGCGGGAUCUGCGGCCGAGAAGAAGGCCAAACUUGAUCAUUUAGAGGAAGUAAAAGUCGUAACAAGGUU
Molecule: ribosomal RNA, 1401 nt
Filed under: metagenome
Description: SSU rRNA
Rfam family: Eukaryotic small subunit ribosomal RNA
Source: RNAcentral